Molecule: ribosomal RNA, 248 nt
Filed under: uncultured bacterium
Lineage: Bacteria
Description: partial 16S ribosomal RNA
Rfam family: Bacterial small subunit ribosomal RNA
Source: RNAcentral
GCAAGUCGAGGGGUAACAUUUGUGCUUGCACCGCCGACGACCGGCGCACGGGUGCGUAACGCGUAUGGAAUCUACCUUGUACUGGGGGAUAGCCUUUGGAAACGAAGAUUAAUACCCCAUGGUAAGUGUUUGUGGCAUCACAUUCAUUUUAAAGGUUACGGUACAAGAUGACCAUGCGUCCUAUUAGUUUGUUGGUAAGGUAACGGCUUACCAAGACUACGAUAGGUAGGGGCCCUGAGAGGGGGAUC